UCUAUCUAUCUAUCUAUCUAUCUACCUACCUAUCUAAUGUAUCUAUAAUUCCAUGAUUGUCAGAUUCAAGCCUACCAGUAUGUUUUUUAAAGCCUUAUUUCCUAGAGGUUGGAUCGUCCAGCAUGGAAAAGACAUACUUGCUCUCAGUUACCUCAGACUGGAAGGGACAUGUGACAUUCAUUCAUAGACUAGCUUGGGUUCUGAGUCAUCGUGUUAAAGACAAGGACGGUGUCAGCAUAUUCUCCAGCCUUGAGGAAGGAUCUCUGUGAGGAGCUGAAUGUCUCUCGUGCCAAUGCUCAGGACGCUGGAGGAUGAGCUUCAGCUGCCACUGUUGACUGGCACUAAACUGCAUGAACUCAAGAACAAAGUCAACCCCACUGCCCUGAACUCUGCACAGACUCCAGCCGACUGACUACGACUGACUGAACUCUCUCUGCCCUCUUCUUAAAUUGUCUCUUUCCUGUGCUGUUUUCGAGAGAACUGGGUGUAUCCUACCCUGUCAAAUCUUUCUCUGAUUCAUCACUUUGUCUGUCCCUCAAUUAGACAUCAUUGUUUGGGAUUGAAGGUGAGUGCUAAGGGCCUAUCAGUAUUCCAGCCAGAGGGAUUAAAGGCAUGUGAUAAGUCUGUAUUCCAGCUGAAUCACACAAAUUUAGCUGUUCUUGGAUGUGAUCAGAAUAGCUGGAUUAAAAUUCCUCUACAGUGUUCAGUGGCUGAUUGAAGAAAGGAGGUUUUCACAUCUAGGAAACUUACAUUGGACAAUUUUUAAAGUUGCUUUUAGUGGUAUAAAUCUGUAUGUCUGAGGUAAUUUCUCUUUAGUUUUUCUCAAAGCCAGAAGAAUGGGUAAACUGAAUGACUUUACCAGGUUCUUCCCCAGCACAGGAUUGUAUACAAUGUAUACAAUGUAUAAGUCUAUCCACUGGUUGCAAAAGUCAUGAAGAGAUACAAGGACUUGUCUGAGUCACAUCUGGAGAUUGAAUUCAAUUAGAUGCCCCCCAACCUAGCUUGGUUGAGCUGUGGUUGACAAACAACAUUGGAUUAUUUUGUGUGUGAGAGUGUAAAAUGACGACUGUAGCCAAGCUAAUCAAUACAUUAUCCACAUCACAUAGUUAUGCAGAUUCAGACUAGGAGGUAAGGGAAAGGAUAAUCACAAGUACAAGGCCAUCUAGGAUGUAUUAAGAAAGAGUUUGGAAGCAGGCUCUGUCUGAGAGAAAAGGCAACCCUUGCCUUUAAGGAUGAUGGGAUUGAUCGGAUCCAUGCACUCACUGUAUAUCACAUGUAUAUGUAUCUAUGUGUAUACACAUGUGCAUAUAUAUGGAUCUAUGCACUGCACAUCACAUUUGUAUGUAUUUGUAUGUGCAUAUGUAUGGAUCCAUGCA
Molecule: long non-coding RNA, 1376 nt
Organism: Mus musculus (house mouse)
Lineage: Eukaryota; Metazoa; Chordata; Mammalia; Rodentia; Muridae
Product: predicted gene, 40678
Exons: 3
Source: RefSeq, a predicted model, not a curated record